RNA transcript from Mustela lutreola (European mink), 2101 nucleotides. It is a transcript of the gene named methyltransferase 3, N6-adenosine-methyltransferase complex catalytic subunit, with no coding region annotated. Lineage: Eukaryota; Metazoa; Chordata; Mammalia; Carnivora; Mustelidae. The record is from RefSeq and is a predicted model, not a curated record. The transcript is spliced from 11 exons.
CUAUGGUGGCUCUCAUUUGAGCUUCAAACCGAGCGGGAAACGGAAAAUGACUUCCAGGCUAGCACAUUCCCGGGAUCUCUUUCCGGUUAGCCCGGGGGUGUCCGCGUGAGAGUUGGAGAUUUCAUGCUGCCGGGGCUGGGAGGUGCUAGUCCACCGCGCUUGAUUCGAGAGGUGUCCCAGCUGAGAGACUAGGAUGUCGGACACGUGGAGCUCUAUCCAGGCCCACAAAAAGCAGCUAGACUCGCUGCGAGAGAGGUUGCAGCGGAGGCGGAAGCAGGACUCCGGGCACUUGGAUCUACGAAAUCCAGAGGCAGCACUGUCUCCCACCUUCCGCAGUGACAGCCCGGUGCCUACUGCACCCACUUCUGGUGGCCCUAAGCCCAGCACAGCUUCAGCAGUUCCUGAGCUAGCUACAGACCCUGAAUUAGAGAAGAAAUUGCUACACCACCUCUCUGAUCUGGCCUUAACAUUGCCCACUGAUGCUGUGUCCAUCCGUCUUGCCAUCUCCACGCCAGAUGCCCCUGCCACUCAAGAUGGGGUAGAAAGCCUCCUACAGAAGUUUGCAGCUCAGGAGCUGAUUGAGGUAAAACGAGGUCUCUUACAAGAUGACGCACAUCCCACUCUUGUGACCUAUGCUGAUCAUUCCAAACUCUCUGCCAUGAUGGGCGCUGUGGCAGAAAAGAAGGGCCCUGGGGAGGUAACAGGGACUAUCACAGGGCAGAAGCGGCGUGCAGAGCAGGACUCAGCCACAGUAGCUGCCUUUGCUAGCUCUUUGGCCUCUGGCCUGGCCUCUUCAGCAUCAGAAGCAGCCAAGGAGCCAACCAAGAAAUCGAGGAAACAUGCUGCCUCGGAUGUUGAUCUGGAGAUAGAGAGCCUUCUGAACCAACAGUCUACUAAGGAACAACAGAGCAAGAAGGUCAGUCAGGAGAUCCUAGAGCUAUUAAACACAACAACAGCCAAGGAACAGUCCAUUGUUGAAAAGUUUCGAUCACGAGGUCGGGCCCAAGUACAGGAGUUCUGUGACUAUGGAACCAAGGAGGAGUGCAUGAAAGCCAGUGAUGCUGACCGGCCCUGCCGCAAGCUGCACUUCAGACGAAUUAUCAAUAAACACACUGAUGAAUCAUUAGGUGACUGCUCUUUCCUUAACACAUGUUUCCACAUGGAUACCUGCAAAUAUGUUCACUAUGAAAUUGAUGCUUGCAUGGAUUCUGAGGCUCCUGGGAGCAAAGACCAUACACCUAGCCAAGAGCUUGCUCUUACACAGAGUGUUGGAGGGGACUCCAAUGCAGAUCGACUCUUCCCUCCUCAGUGGAUCUGUUGUGAUAUCCGCUACCUGGACGUCAGUAUCUUGGGCAAGUUUGCAGUUGUGAUGGCUGACCCACCCUGGGAUAUUCACAUGGAGCUGCCCUAUGGGACCCUGACAGAUGAUGAGAUGCGCAGGCUCAACAUACCAGUACUGCAGGAUGAUGGCUUUCUCUUCCUCUGGGUCACAGGCAGGGCCAUGGAGUUGGGCAGAGAGUGUCUGAACCUCUGGGGUUACGAACGGGUAGAUGAAAUUAUCUGGGUGAAGACAAAUCAACUGCAGCGCAUCAUUCGGACAGGCCGUACAGGUCACUGGUUGAACCAUGGGAAGGAACACUGCUUGGUUGGUGUCAAAGGAAAUCCCCAAGGCUUCAACCAAGGUCUGGAUUGCGAUGUGAUCGUAGCUGAGGUAUGUGCUUCCCCAGGCAUCCAAACCUUCCACACUGUUCAAGCCAGGUUCGUUCUACCAGUCAUAAACCAGAUGAAAUCUAUGGCAUGAUUGAGAGACUAUCCCCUGGCACUCGCAAGAUUGAGUUAUUUGGACGACCACACAAUGUGCAGCCCAACUGGAUCACCCUUGGAAACCAACUGGAUGGGAUUCACCUGUUAGACCCAGAUGUGGUUGCCCGGUUCAAGCAAAGGUAUCCAGAUGGUAUCAUCUCUAAGCCUAAAAAUCUAUAGAAGCACUUCCUUAUAGAGCUAAGCACCUACACCCAUGGCUCUGCAGGCUGCAUCUGAAGAGUAAUAUUUGUACAAUAGUUUUUUUCCCUCCCUUAUUUAAAUAAAAGUUUGUAUUGUA